GCACCGGUAGUAUAGUGGUUAGUAUGUCGGCCUUCCAAGCCGAUCACCCGGGUUCGACUCCCGGCCGGUGCA
RNAcentral lists this transfer RNA (72 nucleotides) under Candidatus Woesearchaeota archaeon. RNAcentral describes it as "tRNA-Gly". It matches the Rfam family "tRNA". Rfam says of the family: Transfer RNA (tRNA) molecules are approximately 80 nucleotides in length. Their secondary structure includes four short double-helical elements and three loops (D, anti-codon, and T loops). Lineage: Archaea; Nanobdellati; Candidatus Woesearchaeota. The record is from RNAcentral.